Molecule: ribosomal RNA, 406 nt
Filed under: uncultured bacterium
Lineage: Bacteria
Description: partial 16S ribosomal RNA
Rfam family: Bacterial small subunit ribosomal RNA
Source: RNAcentral
AUUGAACGCUGGCGGCAGGCCUAACACAUGCAAGUCGAACGAGUGGCGGACGGGUGAGUAAUGUCUGGGAAACUGCCUGAUGGAGGGGGAUAACUACUGGAAACGGUAGCUAAUACCGCAUAACAUAGGAUGUGCACAGAUGGGAUUAGCAAGUAGGUGGGGUAAAGGCUCACCUGGGCGACGAUCCCUAGCUGGUCUGAGAGGAUGACCAGCCACACUGGAACUGAGAUACGGUCCAGACUCCUACGGUAGGCAGCAGUGGGGAAUAUUGCACAAUGGGCGCAAGCUUGAGGCAGCCAUGCCGCGGGUAUGAAGAAGGCCUUCGGUUUGGAAAGUACUUUCAGCGGGGAGGCGUUACCCGCAGAAGAAGCACCGGCUAACUCCGUGCCAGCAGCGGCGGUAAUUC